This 587-nucleotide ribosomal RNA is filed under the name uncultured bacterium. RNAcentral's name for it is "bacterial SSU rRNA". It matches the Rfam family "Bacterial small subunit ribosomal RNA", at positions 337 to 916 of the family's 1533-position model. The record is from RNAcentral.
UCCUACGGGAGGCAGCAGUGGGGAAUAUUGGACAAUGGGGGCAACCCUGAUCCAGCCAUGCCGCGUGUGUGAAGAAGGCCCUCGGGUUGUAAAGCACUUUCAGCGAGGAAGAGCGCCUAGCGGUUAAUACCCGCUAGGAAAGACAUCACUCGCAGAAGAAGCACCGGCUAACUCCGUGCCAGCAGCCGCGGUAAUACGGAGGGUGCAAGCGUUAAUCGGAAUUACUGGGCGUAAAGCGCGCGUAGGUGGCUUGAUAAGCCGGUUGUGAAAGCCCCGGGCUCAACCUGGGAACGGCAUCCGGAACUGUCAAGCUAGAGUGCAGGAGAGGAAGGUAGAAUUCCCGGUGUAGCGGUGAAAUGCGUAGAGAUCGGGAGGAGUACCAGUGGCGAAGGCGGCCUUCUGGACUGACACUGACACUGAGGUGCGAAAGCGUGGGUAGCAAACAGGAUUAGAUACCCUGGUAGUCCACGCCGUAAACGAUGUCGACCAGCCGUUGGGUGCCUAGCGCACUUUGUGGCGAAGUUAACGCGAUAAGUCGACCGCCUGGGGAGUACGGCCGCAAGGUUAAAACUCAAAUGAAUUGACGG